GGGGAAUAUUGGGCAAUGGGCGAAAGCCUGACCCAGCAACGCCGCGUGAAGGAAGAAGGCUUUCGGGUUGUAAACUUCUUUGACAGGGGAAGAGUAGAAGACGGUACCCUGAAAACAAGCCACGGCUAACUACGUGCCAGCAGCCGCGGUAAUACGUAGGUGGCAAGCGUUGUCCGGAUUUACUGGGUGUAAAGGGCGUGCAGCCGGGAAGGCAAGUCAGAUGUGAAAUCCGUGGGCUUAACCCACGAACUGCAUUUGAAACUGCUUUUCUUGAGUAUCGGAGAGGUAAUCGGAAUUCCUAGUGUAGCGGUGAAAUGCGUAGAUAUUAGGAAGAACACCAGUGGCGAAGGCGGAUUACUGGACGACAACUGACGGUGAGGCGCGAAAGCGUGGGGAGCAAAC
RNAcentral lists this ribosomal RNA (402 nucleotides) under uncultured bacterium. RNAcentral's name for it is "bacterial SSU rRNA". It matches the Rfam family "Bacterial small subunit ribosomal RNA", at positions 356 to 773 of the family's 1533-position model. The record is from RNAcentral.